This 101-nucleotide small nucleolar RNA is filed under the name Cephalotus follicularis. RNAcentral's name for it is "Plant small nucleolar RNA R71". It matches the Rfam family "Plant small nucleolar RNA R71". Rfam says of the family: R71 is a member of the C/D box family of snoRNAs containing the C (UGAUGA) and D (CUGA) box motifs. Multiple nearly identical copies of this snoRNA have been identified in Arabidopsis, and it is thought to function as a 2'-O-ribose methylation guide for 18S ribosomal RNA. Lineage: Eukaryota; Viridiplantae; Streptophyta; Magnoliopsida; Oxalidales; Cephalotaceae. The record is from Rfam by way of RNAcentral.
ACGACAUGAUGAGGACAUUUUCUGAUGAGAUCCUUUAAUCGUUCCCAUGAUUCAUGGAACUGCUCACCAUCUUGUUGGAGAAGCUAGUGACAACUCAUCUU